Molecule: small RNA, 2036 nt
Filed under: Arabidopsis thaliana (thale cress)
Lineage: Eukaryota; Viridiplantae; Streptophyta; Magnoliopsida; Brassicales; Brassicaceae
Description: ATSL203690
Source: RNAcentral
UUCAAACUCAUCAAGAUGAUCUAGCGGAUCCUCCAUUAGCAGGCCAUGAAACUUGUUCCCCUGAACCAUAGCAAUGAGACCGCUUUUGAUCUCAAAGUUGUUGUUCUGUACUGGAGGUGGAACGAUUCCAUGACGCUGGUUGUGGUUGUGAGGGAAGUCACCAGCACCAAUGUUGGUAGGUUGCUCUUGCUCAUCUACAACGUCAGCCAUUGUGUCUGUUUCUGUCUGUUCUCUUAGUUGGCGAGCAAUACGGUCGAUGUUAUCGUUGAAUAGCAGGUUCUGAUUUCCUUGUGACCGUGUAUGCAUGCAACAGAUAGCAGCCGUGCUAUAACAGACGAAUCAGAGAUGCGUCUGGAAAGCAGGUUGCAAGGUACCUGAAACACAAAGACAGAAAAGGCACAAUGUUAGUAACUUGUGUAACAAAAACGAACUUGAUCUUAAUGUUUCUAAUGAUCUCAAAUAUAGCAAACAAACACCAAACUGGCAACGGCGCCAAAUUGAUAGUAGGAUUUUACUCAAUUAAUCCCUAAAACACUAUCUUGUCGUUGUAGUAUUUUAGGAUGUCAAUCCAAUCCGGUGUGAUGCAAACAGAUGAGAUAUGAUCAGAAAGCUCUAAGUCAAGCCAAGCAGAAAGUUGGUUGGUUCUAACAGUCCUAGUAUGCAAUAACAGAAAUGAAGUGAAACUAAAAGCAGGAAUGGCAAUAGCAGGCAAGUGAAUGACAAAGCAGAAAUGAUAACAGGCAAUCAAAUGGAUAAACGAUUCCUAAGGAUGGGGUAAUCGAAUAGUGUGGUCUACUUAAUCUAUUCAGUCGGUUGACAAAACUUCACAGAACCUAUCCCUAGACAACAAGUUCAACAACAGAUUAAUUCACUCCCGUGAUAGAAAUCCUCAAGCAAAGCUAGACACUGACCUAAAUCCCUUUAGCGAUCUCUAACUAAGCAGGCAUUAUCGAAUCAACAUGUUAAAGUCAAUACCCUCUCUACAGCCAAUCCCUUGGGGUAGAGUCAGAUAUCUCUGGAAUUAAUAGGAUCCAACGCCCAUUAAACGCCUUUUGAGCGCUGGACGUCUGGACUCAUACUCCACAUUAGCCAGUGAAAUAAGCAAUAAGCGCAACUAAUCCAGAAGGGAUUCUAGAAUUCUAAACUCAACCACCUAAAACGACCAAGUAAACCACAACUAUUCUAUCCCAUCCUCAGAAAUACAGUUCACUACUCAGACAUAAUCAAAGACAAUAACAAAGCAACAAUUGAAAACAUGAUAACAGAAAUGACGAAAGACUUAAACGAAAACUGAAUAUCAAAUACUUGAGAACGAAACUACAAAGUCGCAGGAGAAACACUGCGGCUAUCAAAGUUGCGAAAAUGUAAAAGCGAAAUAAAACGGAUAAUAGCGGAUGCUAGCCGACGCCCUAGGAAAACCCUAAGAGGUAGUUUAUAUAAGCGAAAAAAUGAAACAAAUAAGGAAACUAAAUAUAUAGCGAAUCUUCACGUCAUGAUCCUGCGACCGAAUGUGUCAUUGGCAUCUGACGGGCUGAAAUGAGCUUCCUAGUGAUCGAGUAUGUCAUUGAUCAAACUGGGCUUCAGGGGCUCCGUCUUGCGAUCGAGUGAAAUGCAGUGAAGUCGAGAUUGAAUGGUCCAGCGACCUUGUGAUCGAGUGCGAUCGAGUGGAUGUCAUGAGGGUGUGAUCGAGUGGUUUCGAUGGGGUGAUUCCUCCGGCUUCGCGAUUGAGUGAAACUGAGCUGUUUGCUUCUCCGGGGUUGCGAUAGAGUGAUUUGCCCUAGCAGGGCUCCGAGGCUGCGAUAGAGUACUUUUGCUGAAGGCGUCAUUGGGCAUUCUGAUUUUCCUCUGUUUGAACUCCAAAAGCAUCCAAAGUACCUGAAAACAACCAAAUAUGCCAUGCACAUGCAAUCCUAAUGCAAAAUCGUCCAAAGUAUGUAAAACACACUAAAACGACUCCUAAUGAGAUGAAACGUGGAUGAAACAAUGACAAAGUGGUGAAGAAUGAAUGCCUAAAUCAUGAAAAUUAUAGACAUAUC